RNAcentral lists this non-coding RNA (21 nucleotides) under Caenorhabditis elegans. The record is from RNAcentral. Lineage: Eukaryota; Metazoa; Nematoda; Chromadorea; Rhabditida; Rhabditidae.
UGUAAUUUUCAUAAGAAGUUG